This is an unclassified non-coding RNA of Octopus bimaculoides (California two-spot octopus), 5007 nucleotides long. The record is from RefSeq and is a predicted model, not a curated record. Lineage: Eukaryota; Metazoa; Mollusca; Cephalopoda; Octopoda; Octopodidae.
CGGAACAGUUCUCAAAGAGAAACUGGACCGAGACGAAUUUGGCUGCCGAGUUAAAGCUAUUUAUAACAAACUAUUGGCUCACCAGAUGGUAGAAAUAUACUCUAUCACGUGACCUUAUUAGGGGCCGUGAUUGGUCAGUUUGCGUUCUGGCGGGAACGGUUCGAAGAAGGUGCCGAUUCGAAUAAUGAUCAGUCACGUGAUGGACAAGGAAUGGGUUCUCUACUACGCUCGCAUUUAUUUAUAUUUAAAUGAGAAGAUAGUAUGUAAUGGCGAUAUAUAUUUUUUAUGUCACUUUGAUUUUGUGCCAGAAGAAAGCUUUGAAAGUGUACAGCUUCUACAAGAUGAUCAACCUAUAUAAACGCACGCGCACACACACGUAUAAAAAUUGCCUUCUCAUAUUUUUCCUUUUACCAACUUACAUACAAUAGAUAAGUGACACUACACUCUAACUAAACAUCUAUCCUUUCAGAAGAUUCUAUUUCACUGCUAAUUAGAUCACCUAGGUAACAGAAACUAUUUACUACCUCUUGAGAUCUUCCUGCAUGCUUGGGAAAGCCUAUUUCCCGUACAUCCUUACUCUUUAUUGCUCCUGAACAUCUUCCACAUACGGACACUAAUUUCUCUGUUAUAAACCUACGAUUCCAUUGCACCUCUUGUAUAUCCAUAGUUUGCAUCGGGUGCAUUGUAUUUUUGUCUUACAUUCUGAGCAAGGCUGUUUCCCUGGUGUCUCUCUCAAAGUGAAAGACAUUGUAUGAAGCUUAUGUACGAAGAGCAAUGGUAUAUGGUAUUUAGACAUAGGCCCUGAAUGCGGAGGACUUGAGAAGGCUAGAAAGACAAGAAGCGAGCAUGUUCUGUUGAAUGUGCAACGUAAGUGUACAUGAACGACAAGACACGAAUACAUUGAAAGAAAAAUUAGGCGUAAGAGGAACCAGAUGUAGAGUGCAAGGAAGAAAACUUCACGGGUCUAUACAUCUGAUGCGUAUAGAUGAGAAGAGGUGUAUAAAGUGCUGAUCACUUAAGUUGGGUGGAGCUUGUGGAAGAGAUCCAGGAAGACAUGGAACAAAGAAGUGAAGGCUGAUCUUAGGACUUUGAACCUCAUGGAAGAGAUAUCAAAGGACUUGGAUAUGCAUUAAUCAAGAAGACUAGCCAGUCUUGACGAAACAGAUCCUGGAAAUACAAUGUGUGUGUGAGAGAGAGAGAGUGCGUGUACACAUACAAAAUUGCGCUUUCAACCAAUUACUUUUUUAAGCUUUCCCUCACCACCUACCAUCUUCCUAUCACUAGCCCUACUACUAUUACUUUAAUAUUCUGCUGUUGUAAUUGGAAUUAAAUGAAAGUAGAACUAAGUAUUUCGUCGUAUUCUUCUGUGAAACCAGUUAUCAUUCUCACUGUUCAGAAUCACAUCACUCGUCAUCUCUCCUUAAUUUUAAAUAUUGUCCCUCUCCGCAAUUAUUUUAUAACGAUCACCCUUCACUGCACCAAAUUAUCUCUUUUUCUCUACUACCAUGUAUCUCUCACUCUACAUGUACAAGGUUUACCUCUUCCCCUCGCUCACGUGCUAUUGCCAACGAGGAAACACAAGAAGACAGCAAUCAUGUGUGAAGAUGGAGCAAUCACUAUGUAUAUCAUUGUUCAGUUUUAUUUCAAGAUUGCGUUUGUGCAUGCAUUUGUGCGUGUGUGUGUGUAUUUCGUGCAGAAACUGCGGCUAUAAACAGAGAGCCAGCUUUGUUGCUUAUUCAGACAAAAGAAUUGUGUGUUCCAUUUCAGUCGCAGUUUUUGCUUUAGAAUAAUGAUGCUAAAAUCUUUGGAAACAGCACCGUAACAACGAAAUCAUUUCUUUCAUCGUUUAGUAAGGAAGCACAACACAACGAUUCAUUGUUUACACCUCAAAACGAACGUCAGAUGGCAUUGGUAAUUAAAGAGUCUUUUUACUUCACAUGCAUCAUCAAUAUUUAUCAUCUUUUAAAAAGAGUAAAAGAAGCUGCUACACCGAACAGAUAGAACCCGUUUUGUAGAAAUCUGUGGUAUAAGUUUCUCUGAAAUAUUUCAUCUGAGUGAGAUUAUUUGUGACACUUUUUUACUUUGCUCUCUGGAAUGUGGAGAAGAUGAAUUUGUAGUCUAAUGAAACUUGGACAAGUUUGUAAAGGAGUUUGCAGCAUCCUCAGAUGCCUCACUGUUAACAGUUGAUGGAAAUAUAGCAGGAGAAAUAUCUGUUGGAAAUGAAAUACAAAAUUAAUGAAGAAAACUUUAUUGGGAAGAGAGAAGAAGUAUAGUGGAAAAUUAAUUCUGUGUAAACAGUUUAAAGACAAAAUAUAAUAUAAAAAGCUUGGCUUUUUGCAUGAGAUACUGUAAGAAACACAUACAACCUCAUAUUAACCUUGAAGGCUAUUUUCUUCAAAGAGUAGCCUAACUACUUGCAAAUUUAUUCAUACAGGAGAAAAACACCAUUUCAGUCAAAUAUUUGUGGUAAGUUGUUUCUUCGAAGCAGUAACUUAACUAAACACAAACAUAUUCAUAGAGCAGAAAGGUCAUAGCAUUUCGACAUCUGUGGUAAAUCAUUCUCUUGAGCAAUUGCAUUAAAUGCACACAAACGCAUUCAUACAAGAGAAAUGUAUAAAUCAUUUUUAGGCAGUAGUAACUUGCCUAGGAAGAAACGCUUUCAUAGAAGAGAAAAACCUUGUCUCUGCAAUAUCUGUGGUAAAUCAUUCUCUGUAGGUGUCACCUUAACUGAACACAAACGCAUUCACACAGGAGGAAAGCCAUAUCAUUGCGAUAUAUGUGGCAUAUCCUUCUCCAGAAAUAGUAACUUAAUUAGACACAAACAUCUCCAUACAGGAGAGAUGCCCUAUCACUGUGAUGUCUGUGGUAAAUCAUUCUCUGUAAGCAGUAACUUAAUUACUCACAAACGCACUCAUACAGGAGAGAAACCAUAUCAUUGUGAUAUCUGUGGUCAGUCAUUCUCUCAAAAAGUUUCUUUAACUACUCACAAAUACACUCAUACAGGAGAGAAACCAUAUCCUUGUGAUAUCUGUGGUAAAUCCUUUUCUCUAACUGGCUAUUUAACUAUUCACAAACGCACUCAUUCAGGAGAGAAACCAUAUCAUUGUGAUAUCUGUGGUACAUCAUUCGCUCGAAGUAGUUACUUAACUUCUCAUAAACGCACUCAUACAGGAGAGAAACCAUAUCAUUGUGAUAUCUGUGGUAAAUCAUUCUCUGUAAAUGGUUAUUUACCUGUUCACAAACGCACUCAUACAGGAGAGAAACCAUAUCAUUGUAAUGUGUGUGGUAAAUCAUUCUCUCAGAAUAGUUACUUAACUAUUCACAAAUAUACUCAUACAGGAGAGAAACCAUAUCAUUGUGAUAUCUGUGGUAAAUCGUUCUCAGUAAAUUCUAACUUAACAAAACACAAAGACAUACAUAUUAGAAUGGAGCCAUAUUACUGUGAUGUUUGUGGUAAAUCAUUUGCUCAGAAAAGAUACUUAAAUGUGCAUAAACGUGUUCAUACAGGAGAAAAACCAUACCACUGUAAUAUCUGUGGUAAAUCGUUCCUUCGGAAAGCUAAAGUAACUGUUCACAAACGCAUUCAUUCAGGGGAAAAGCCAUAUCAUUGUGAUAUUUGUGGUAGAUCAUUCGCUGAAAGUGGUACCUUAGCUAUACAUAAACGUCUGCAUACAGGAGAGAGACCCUAUAGCUGUGACAUCUGUGGUAAAUCAUUCUCUUACAAUGGUAUCUUAAUUAACCACAAACGCCUACAUACAGGAGAAACACCUUAUCAUUGUGAUGUCUGUGGUAAAUCAUUCACUGAAAGUAACAAUUUAACUGUACACAAACGUGUCCAUACAAGAGAGAAACCAUAUCGCUGUGAUGUUUGUGGUAAAUCAUUCUCUCAAAAUGGAAACUUAACUGUGCAUAAACGUGUUCAUACAGGAGAAAAGCCAUAUUGCUGUCAUAUCUGUGGUAAAUCAUUCUCUCAGAAUCAUUGCUUAAAUAUUCACAAACGCACUCAUACAGAAAUAGAACCAUUAUCACCGUGAUAACUGGUAAAUCACCCUCUCGAAGGGGACUGUUAGAUUAUCACAAAUGUAUUCAUAUAAGAAAUAUAUAUACUGUGAGAUCUGCAGUAAAAUAUUAUUGAAAUCAAGUGACUUAACUGUACAUAUCUGCGUUCAUUCAAGAAAAAGUUCAUAUGCAUUCUAAAUCUCUUUAAGAAGUAACUUAAUUACUCAUGAACACCUUGAUACAGGAAAUGAACCAUUUCAAUAUAGUAAAACAUUCUGUAAAUGUCUUUAUGCAACAGUACAGGCAUAUGUUUGCAGCAAGUCAGAUGACAUUGGUAAUUAAAGAGGCUUUUUACUUCACAUGCAUCAUCAAUAUUUAUCAUCUUUUAAAAAGAAUAAAAGAAGCUGCUACACCGAAUAGAUAGAACCCGUUUUGUAGAAAUCUGUGGUAAAAGUUUCUCUGAAAUAUUUCAUCUGAGUGAAAUUAUUUGUGGCACUUUUCUACUUUGCUCUCUGGAAUAUGGACAAGAUGAAUUUGGAAUGUAAUGAAACUUGGACACGUUUGUAAAAGCGUUUACAGCAUCUUCAGAUGCCUAACCGAUAACUGUUGAUGGAAAUAUAGUAGGAGAAAUAUUUGUUGGAAAUAAAACACAAAAUUAAUGGAGAAAACUUUAUUUGGAAGAGAGAAGUAUAGUGGAAAAUUAAUUCUGUGUAAGCAGUUUAAAUACAAAAUAUAAUAUAAAAAGUUUGGUUUUUCGCACGAGAUACUGCAAGCAACACACACAACAUCAUAUCACUCUCAAAGUCACGCAGACACAUUGAAAUGUAUAAAUCAUCUUUAGGCAGUAGUAACUUAUCUAGGAAGAAAUGCUUCCAUAGAAGAGGAAAACUGUAUUUCUGUGAUAUCUGUGGUAAAUCAUUCUCUGUAAGAUUUAACUUAACUGUACACAAAAGCAUUCACACAGGAGAGAAGCCAUAUCACUGUGAUGUCUGUGGUAUAUGCUUCUCC